Molecule: transfer RNA, 69 nt
Filed under: Marmota monax (woodchuck)
Lineage: Eukaryota; Metazoa; Chordata; Mammalia; Rodentia; Sciuridae
Rfam family: tRNA
About the family: Transfer RNA (tRNA) molecules are approximately 80 nucleotides in length. Their secondary structure includes four short double-helical elements and three loops (D, anti-codon, and T loops).
Source: Rfam by way of RNAcentral
GGAGUUGUGGCUCAGUGGUAGAGCACUUGCCUGGCAUGUAUGAGGCCCUGGGUUCGAACCUCAGCACCA